AUUGAACGCUGGCGGCAGGCCUAACACAUGCAAGUCGAACGUGUGGCGGACGGGUGUAUAGUGCUGGAGAAUGUCCCUUAUGGAGGGGGAUAACUACGGAAAGCUGUAGAUAAUAGCGCGAACCCGGGGAUGCGCCCACGUGGGAUGAGGUAGUGGGUGGGGUAAGGGCUCACCAGGCCGACGAUCUCUAGCUGGUCUGAGAGGAUGACCAGCCACACUGGAACUGAGACACGGCCCAGACUCCUACGGGAGGCAGCAGUGGGGAAUAUUGCGCAAUGGGGGCAACCUGACGCAGCCAUGCCGCGUGAAUGAAGAAGGCCUUCGGGUUGUAAAGUUCUUUCGGUAGCGAGGCGUUACCUACAGAAGAAGCACCGGCUAACUCCGUGCCAGCCGCCGCGGUAAUAC
RNAcentral lists this ribosomal RNA (405 nucleotides) under uncultured bacterium. RNAcentral describes it as "partial 16S ribosomal RNA". It matches the Rfam family "Bacterial small subunit ribosomal RNA", at positions 30 to 526 of the family's 1533-position model. The record is from RNAcentral.